GAGAGAGGUAAGAGCCAGUGCCAAUUCCACCUGACCCAACUGCUCACGCUGUUCUCCCUGCGCGGCUGAAACGUGGUCUCAGAAAUACUUGCUGCUUUCCAGGUGUGAGGCCUGCAGGGAGCUUUCAUUUGAAGACAACAUGGCUUACUACAUUUUGCACACAGUGUAAUAUUAUUAAUAUACCUCCUCUCCAAAAGGGGGAAGGGUACAAUGAUAAUGAAUGUUGCUAAUAUCACAGUGCAUCCAAGGCAGGUUUCUAGCAAUGGUGGCAUUUCUUUAGAACCCGAGAAACAGGAUUCUUCUGCAAGUGUGAGGUGAGAACAUAAGAAAAGCCUGCUGGAUCAGGCCACUGGCCCAUCUAGUCCAGCAUCCUGUAAUCACAGUUGACAACCAGAUGCCUAUGGGAGGCCUGGAAGCAGGACCUGAGUGCAACAGUACUCUCCCCUCCUGUGAUUUCUAGCAAGUGGUAUUCAGAAAGAAGCUUCUUGCCUCUGAUAAUAGAGGCAGAGCACAGCCAUCAUAGCUAGUAGCCACUGACAGCCAUAUCUUCCGUGAAUUUGUCGAAUCCUAUUUUAAAGCCAUCCCAGUUGGAGGCCAUCACUGCCUCUUUUGGGAGUGAAUUUCAUAGUUUCUUUUGUCUAUCCUGAACCUUAUAAUAAAAUGUUCUUGCUCUCAAGGUAUUUCAGCCUCCAAGCAUGGAGUUUCAUCAGUAACAGGCCAGUUCUAACACAAUGUUUUGCCUGCACAGGAUGAUUAGUAGGGAUGUGUACCCUUGCAAAAAGCUGGUCAAAAUGCAUCAUCCAUGUCAGUUGGUGUAAAAAGGAUGACAGGCCACCUGGCAUGCCGAUAUAAUGAACUUCUUAUAGUAUCCUGGCACCACUUGUUCAGGAUUGUGCCUCUACUUCUUCCCAUGUGCUGCCAAUCUGAGUGCCACUCCCCCACCCCAUCCUCCCUCUGCUUUGGACAGUGGGAGAAAGAAAAUGUCCAUGGUGGGGAAGGUGUAUGGGCACAGAAGCGGCACAGUGCUCUGGAGCCCCAGGUGUGAGAGAGGGUGUCCUUGUAGUUCUGUGGCCAUGGUGGUGGAGAUUCAAACUCCACCUACAGGAAGUCUUUCAAAUUGCCAGGGAACUCUCAUAAAACUGGGAUGGUUGCAGUACUAUAAAUUUGACUGACUGAUCUUAUAGUCCACUCUUUACCAAAUGGUCCCAAGGUAGGCUACAAGAACAAAACAAUAUUAAAACAGGUACAAAUUUCAUUAAAAUCAUAGAGCAAAGCCGCAAAAUUAGCCAGGUAGCAAAAUAGCUGCACUGAACAAUAGUGCAGGAGAGAAAACAUCCUCUCAGCCAAAGAUGUGGGUAAAAAGUACAUCAAAAGGCGUACAGUGAUGGCACAAGACAGCACCUUGGAGGGGAAGUUAUUCCACAAGCUGGGGGCCAUUACAGAGAAGGCCCUCUCAUGCCCCUCAGAAAACAGAUGUGGCAGGAUGGUUGAGGAGAAGAGAGCUCAGGCCUUUAGCUCUGCUGCUGGGAGACAAGGAUGAGCAGGAAGAGGAGCCUCUUUGACCCUUCCACUCCAUUCUGGAAGCCAAGGAAAAGAGAAUCCAGGAGGGGCAAAGGAGAAACCAGGGCAGAGGCAGCUAUGGGUAGUAGGCAACCCCCCAUAAACCCAUUCCCUGCCAGCUGCUAAAGAACUCUCCAGACUGGAGAAAUGUCUGUGGGAGAAAGCAAAGCAUGCAUAUUUUCCAGAUGUGGAACACUGCAGGGGAGAGGGAGACUAGUAAUGGAAAUUGAAAUGCAAAUUCUUUUUCUGUGUGGAAAAGGCCCAAUAAAUCAGGAGUGACAGGAACACAAAAGACACCAUCAGGAAGCAUUUGCACAAUCAAGGGAUGCUUCAUAUAUCAGAGAGUACUCAGGCUGUGCCUCCAUGCUGCAAAUAAACCAGAUUCAUUGCAGAAGGAGCAGUCUCUGAAUUCUCCCUGUCUGAAGAGCAAAAAAAAAACAUAUUGUGUUCCAUUUCAGUCAGACUUAGCAUGUUUUCUAACAUAAACAGGAUCGUAUUUAAAGGGCCAAUUUGAAAGAAAACAAGUCAGUCUGACUUCUGGAACUCCUUUAUAGUGAAAGAGAAUUCUAGGAAUAGAAGCUGCUCUUGCGAGGCUCCCAUAUAAAAUGGAAAUGCAGGGCUUCUGAAGAAGGGCCCAGCUGAGGAAGCGAGGGGAAUAUAGAGUCAUUUGGGGGCAGGGGGGUGUAGGAGCCAAGGAUUAGAAAUGUAUUGUGACAGCUCUCUAGACUGUGUAUCUGUCUCCAUUGCUGUCCCUUGAUAUUUCAUCCAAUGCUUUUUAUGCUCAGGCAAGAAACCCUGCCUGUUAUGGGAAGCUGGGGCAAAGUGCGGAAAAGGAUGGAUUUGGAGAGCAAUUUGUCCUUUGGCCGCUGCUGAAAAGGCUGAUGAUAAUUACCUUUUUCUGGGUACUUACGCUUCACUUUUAUGGCUGGCCAGCACUGGAGGUGACUAAGGAAUUAUCCUGACUUGCUUGCUGCUCAUAGAUCCUUUUGCAAUCUCUGCCAGUUAAUAAAGAAGCACUUGCAGGGAGAGGGUUAUCCAGCAUUAGCACUAACAAUUGCCAGGCCUUUAAAGAGAAAAAGAAAGAAAGAACGAUACAGUGGCGUAAAUUCUGUAACUAUUGGUAGGCAUUGCUGCUAUUAUGAGGCAGGCAAAGUAACAGCAGGACAACUUCAGCUGUGAGGGCCUGAGGUUUAUAUAAUGGGAAUUCCAUCGCUUCCUUCAGGAGUACAUUCUCCAGAGUAUUUUGAAAACAGAAUGAAGUCAAAAAGGUAUGCUACCACAGACGUUUGGAAGCUGGGUUUGCAAAAGUGUGUAUGUUUUCGUAUGUGUGGUCUAUUCAUGGAGCAGAGAUUUGGCAAUUAGAUAUCUACAACACAUUCAGGUAAAGAGAACCAGUGUGGUGUAGUGCCUAGUUGCAACAUUGAGUUAGAUAUGUGAAAGCUAAAUUCAUAUCUGCAAUCAAGAGUGGCAUUUCCUGGGUUGCCUUGGACAUGACAUGGCAGCCCAGAUCAGUCAUCAGAGAAUCAUGUACAGUGGUACCUCUGGAUGUGAGCGGGAUCCGUUCUGGAGCCCCAUUCGCAUCCUGAAGCGAACGCAACCCACGUCUGUGCAUCUGCGCGUGUCGUGAUUCGCUGCAUCUGCGCGUGAUGUAAUUUUGAGCGUCUGCGCAUGCACGAGUGACAAAAUCCGGAAGUAACACAUUCCGUUACUUCCGGGUCGCUACGGAGCAUAAUCUGAAAACAGUCAACCUGAAGUGACUUCAACCCGAGGUAUGACUUUAUUGGACUUGCACGCUUCCUCGUCCUCCCUUCAUGCACUUCCUCCCUAACUUCCUUGUUUGCAGUAACAGUUGUUUGCUGUUAUGACCAAAUCAGGCAAACUAUGGUUACUGCAAACCAUAGUUUGCCUCCAAACCAGAAAUAGAAACUUAGGUAGUUCACAUGUGGCCUAAAGUUCUGUUUUGGAGGGAAAGUAUAGCUUAUGUGACCAUAGUUUGGUCAAUUGGGAUGUCACAGCAAGCUACAGUUAUAAGGUUC
Molecule: non-coding RNA, 3596 nt
Organism: Podarcis lilfordi (Lilford's wall lizard)
Lineage: Eukaryota; Metazoa; Chordata; Lepidosauria; Squamata; Lacertidae
Source: the annotation of a GenBank genome assembly